Molecule: ribosomal RNA, 479 nt
Filed under: Salmonella enterica
Lineage: Bacteria; Pseudomonadati; Pseudomonadota; Gammaproteobacteria; Enterobacterales; Enterobacteriaceae
Also listed under: 2 other names
Description: bacterial SSU rRNA
Rfam family: Bacterial small subunit ribosomal RNA
Source: RNAcentral
GCAUGGCUGUCGUCAGCUCGUGUUGUGAAAUGUUGGGUUAAGUCCCGCAACGAGCGCAACCCUUAUCCUUUGUUGCCAGCGAUUAGGUCGGGAACUCAAAGGAGACUGCCAGUGAUAAACUGGAGGAAGGUGGGGAUGACGUCAAGUCAUCAUGGCCCUUACGACCAGGGCUACACACGUGCUACAAUGGCGCAUACAAAGAGAAGCGACCUCGCGAGAGCAAGCGGACCUCAUAAAGUGCGUCGUAGUCCGGAUUGGAGUCUGCAACUCGACUCCAUGAAGUCGGAAUCGCUAGUAAUCGUGGAUCAGAAUGCCACGGUGAAUACGUUCCCGGGCCUUGUACACACCGCCCGUCACACCAUGGGAGUGGGUUGCAAAAGAAGUAGGUAGCUUAACCUUCGGGAGGGCGCUUACCACUUUGUGAUUCAUGACUGGGGUGAAGUCGUAACAAGGUAACCGUAGGGGAACCUGCGGUUGGA